Molecule: ribosomal RNA, 1530 nt
Filed under: uncultured Bordetella sp.
Lineage: Bacteria; Pseudomonadati; Pseudomonadota; Betaproteobacteria; Burkholderiales; Alcaligenaceae
Description: partial 16S-23S ribosomal RNA intergenic spacer
Rfam family: Bacterial small subunit ribosomal RNA
Source: RNAcentral
GGUUCGAUUAUGGCUCAGAUUGAACGCGCUGGCGGGAUGCUUUACACAUGCAAGUCGAACGGCAGCACGGACUUCAGUCUGGUGGCGAGAGUGGCGAACGGGUGAAGUAAUGUAUCGGAACGUGCCUAGUGGCGGGGGAUAACUACGCGAAAGCGUAGCUAAUACCGCAUACGCCCUUCGGGGAAAGCGGGGACGGGCCUCGCACUAUUAGAGCAGCCGAUAUCGGAUUAGCUAGUUGGUGGGGUAACGGCUCACCAGGAGGCGACGAUCCGUAGCUGGUUUGAGAGGACGACCAGCCACACUGGGACUGAGGCGGUGAAAGCCCGAAGACUCCUACGGGAGGCAGCAGUGGGGAAUUUUGGACAGUAAACCCUGAUCCAGCCAUCCCGCGUGUGCGAUGAAGGCCUUCAGGUUUGUAAAGCACUUUUGGCAGGAAAGAAACGGCACGGGAUAAUACCCGUGCAACUGACCAAUACCUGCAGAAUAAGCACCGGUAACACGUGCCAGCAGCCGCGGUAAUACGUAGGGUGCAAGCGUUAAUGGAAUUACUGGGCGUAAAGCGUGCGCAGGCGGUUCGGAAAAGAAAGAUCCUUGAAAUCCCGACUUAACUUUGGAACUGCAUUUUUAACUACCGAGCUAGAGUGUGUCAGAGGAGGUGGAAUUCCCGCGUGUAGCAGUGAAAUGCGUAGAUAUGCGGAGGAACACCGAUGGCGAAGGCAGCCUCCUGGGAUAGGAUAACACUGACGCUCAUGCACGAAAAAGCGUGGGGCAAACAGGAUUAGAUGCCUGGUAGUCCACGCCUAAACCGUGUCAACUAGCUGUUGGGGCCUUCGGGCCUUGGUAGCUGGCUAACGCGUGAAUUCUGACCCGCUGGGGAGUACGGUCGCAAGAUUAAAACUCAAAGAAAUUGACGGGGACGCACAAGCGGUGGAUGAUGUGGAUUAAUUCGAUGCAACGCGAAAACCUUACCUACCCUUGACAUGUCUGGAAUCCCGAAGAGAUUUGGGAGUGCUCGCAAGAGAACCGGAACACAGGUGCUGCAUGGCUGUCGUCAGCUCGUGUCGUGAGAUGUUGGGUUAAGUCCCACAGCGAGCGCAACCCUUGUCAUUAGUUGCUACGAAAAGGGCACUCUAAUGAGACUGCCGAUGCAAACCGGAGGAAGGUGGGGAUGACGUCAAGUCCUCAUGGCCCUUAUGGGUAGGGCUUCACACGUCAUACAAUGGUCGGGACAGAGGUCGCCAACCCGCGAGGGGGGAGCCAAUCCCAGAAACCCGAUCGUAGUCCGGAUCGCAGUCUGCAACUCGACUGCGUGAAGUCGGAAUCGCUAGUAAUCGCGGAUCAGCAUGUCGCGGUGAAUACGUUCCCGGGUCUUGUACACACCGCCCGUCACACCAUGGGAGUGGGUUUUACCAGAAGUAGUUAAGCUAUAACCGUAAGGAGGGCGAUUACGGUAGGAUUCAUGACUGGGGUGAAGUCGUAACAAGGUAGCCCUGUUACUACACAAGUGCUCAGGAGCAGUACGCGGCUUUA